RNAcentral lists this ribosomal RNA (403 nucleotides) under uncultured bacterium. Its description in RNAcentral is "partial 16S ribosomal RNA". It matches the Rfam family "Bacterial small subunit ribosomal RNA", at positions 30 to 526 of the family's 1533-position model. The record is from RNAcentral.
AUUGAACGCUGGCGGCAGGCCUAACACAUGCAAGUCGAGCGAGCGGCGGACGGGUGAGUAAUGUAUGGGGAAAGCCCGCUAGAGGGGGAUAACUACUGGAAACGGUAGCUAAUAACGCAUACUAUCGGAUAACCCAUAUGGGAUUAGCUAGUUGGUGGGGUAAUGGCUCACCAAGGCGACGAUCCCUAGCUGGUCUGAGAGGAUGAUCAGCCACUCUGGGACUGAGACACGGCCCAGACGCCUACGGAGGCAGCGGUGGUGAAUAUUGCACAAUGGGCUCAAGCCUGAUGCAGCCAUGCCGCGUGUAUGAAGAAGGCCCUAGGGUUGUAAAGUACUUUCAGUCGGGAGGCGUUACCGGCAGAAGAAGCACCGGCUAACUCCGUGCCAGCAGCCGCGGUAAUUC